UGGCACCCGCUCUGUCCUGCUGAACUUCCCUCUGCAAAACUUUGCUGGAAUAGCAGUGCCCGUCUGGCUGACUGUGCAGUUUUACCCAACGCCAUACUAGAAGUAGUUGGUCUGAACUAUGAUGUGUCUGAUGUGGACAGGCACCCACAAAUGUGUAUUCAGUUUUCUUUGAAUAACAGCCACUAUGUCCACUGCCCCUUCAAGUUUGGUCAUGUCUACGAGUGGGAAGUAACUAAGUUAGCAAUAUUUGCUGGACACAUACGGGUAUCGAUUACAUCCACAAUUCCAGCAUCUUUUGCAGGCCAGCUAUGUGCCAAUUUCGCAGAAGAAUGUGUUUUUAUAGGAAAUGAACAUUAUAUCAGCAUGGUAAGUGUAAGAUAAGAAUAUACCUCAAAAUACAUUAAUCCUUUCAAGAACACUACAAAUCGUUGUUGUCUGGUGAGUAUCAGGUAUGUCCAAAACGGUUAUUUUUUAAGAAAUAAAAAGUGUGAUUUUAGAAUAAUUGCUCUUUGUGUCAUCAAAGUUGGUACAGUGUC
Long non-coding RNA from Alosa alosa (allis shad), 536 nucleotides. RefSeq lists it as uncharacterized. The record is from RefSeq and is a predicted model, not a curated record. NCBI's taxonomy places the organism in Eukaryota, Metazoa, Chordata, Actinopteri, Clupeiformes, Clupeidae. The transcript is spliced from 4 exons.